Molecule: long non-coding RNA, 588 nt
Organism: Haliotis rubra (blacklip abalone)
Lineage: Eukaryota; Metazoa; Mollusca; Gastropoda; Lepetellida; Haliotidae
Exons: 3
Source: RefSeq, a predicted model, not a curated record
GAAACAAACAGUGUGAUGCAAAAUGAUUGUCAAAAUUAAUGGUCUACAGUGAUUAAUUGACCUUCUUGAAACCGUCAAAAUCAAGAAUGGCACCCCAUGCACUUGUAUGGGGCUACUCCUUUGUGCACGUGCAUCCCAUACGUUGUGUUUAGGAUAAAGAGGAAUGGUGGUGCGUUCAUAUGAUGUCUGUCUUUGAAAAGUUUGUUAACGCUUAUACUUCCUAUCCAGAUUGAAAUUUCAGGUUCCCCUACUUUUUUUUUAAGAGUAUAUGUUAAUCCAUCCUUGGGGCGACUGUUAUGGGUAUUUUUAUGCCAGUGAGAAAACACUUUUGUGUUAUUGCAUAACCCUGCUUAAAUAUUGUUUCAAGUAAAUUCUAAUUUGUAGUUGUUAGUUGGCUGCCACAAGUCGAGAACACAAAAAUUAACAGCAUUAUGUACAAGUAUUACAUGCAGUAGUAUAGUAAUGCUUGUGAGAAUGCGAUGCCUAACUUAAGUUGGUAAAUAAAAAUCUGUAAAGAAAUAGAGGCACACAAAUGGAGUGAGUUGAGUCUAGUUUUAUGCCGCACUCAGCAAUAUUCCAGCUAUAUGG